This 433-nucleotide ribosomal RNA is filed under the name uncultured bacterium. Its description in RNAcentral is "partial 16S ribosomal RNA". It matches the Rfam family "Bacterial small subunit ribosomal RNA", at positions 29 to 507 of the family's 1533-position model. The record is from RNAcentral.
AACGGACGCUGGCGGCAUGCCUAACACAUGCAAGUCGAACGAGGCCUUCGGGUCUAGUGGCGCACGGGUGCGUAACGCGUGGGAACCUGCCCUUAGGUUCGGAAUAACUCCCCGAAAGGGGUGCUAAUACCGGAUAAUGUCUUCGGACCAAAGAUUUAUCGCCUUUGGAUGGGCCCGCGUUGGAUUAGCUAGUUGGUAGGGUAAAAGCCUACCAAGGCGACGAUCCAUAGCUGGUCUGAGAGGAUGAUCAGCCACACUGGGACUGAGACACGGCCCAGACUCCUACGGGAGGCAGCAGUGGGGAAUAUUGGACAAUGGGCGAAAGCCUGAUCCAGCAAUGCCGCGUGAGUGAUGAAGGCCUUAGGGUUGUAAAGCUCUUUUACCCGGGAUGAUAAUGACAGUACCGGGAGAAUAAGCUCCGGCUAACUCCGUG